This 210-nucleotide ribosomal RNA is filed under the name Tephromela pacifica. RNAcentral describes it as "5.8S ribosomal RNA". The stretch from base 1 to 152 matches the Rfam family "5.8S ribosomal RNA". From Rfam's summary of the family: 5.8S ribosomal RNA (5.8S rRNA) is a component of the large subunit of the eukaryotic ribosome. The record is from RNAcentral. Lineage: Eukaryota; Fungi; Ascomycota; Lecanoromycetes; Lecanorales; Tephromelataceae.
CUUUCAACAACGGAUCUCUUGGUUCCAGCAUCGAUGAAGAACGCANCGAAAUGCGAUAAGUAAUGUGAAUUGCAGAAUUCAGUGAAUCAUCGAAUCUUUGAACGCACAUUGCGCCCCUCGGUAUUCCGGGGGGCAUGCCUGUUCGAGCGUCAUUAACACCCCUCAAGCGUAGCUUGGUAUUGGGCCUCCGCCGUCACGGCGGGCCCGAAA